GAUUAACGUUGGCAGUGCGCCUAACACAUGCAAGUCGAGCGAUAUAGCGGCAGACGAGAGAGUAAUAGUAAGGAACUUACCCCCGAGUGAAGGAUAGCCAGCCGAAAGGUUGGGUAAUCCUGCAUAAUAUCGAAAGAUCAAAGCCUUCGGGCGCUUGGGGAGAGGCCUUACUCCUAUCAGCUUGUUGGUGAGGUAAUGGCUCACCAAGGCGAUGACGGGUAGCUGGUCUGAGAGGAUGAUCAGCCUCGAUGGGACUGAGACACGGCCCAUACUCCUACGGGAGGCAGCAGUUGGGGAUUUUGCACAAUGGAGGAAACUCUGAUGCAGCGACACUGCGUGAAGGAUGAAGGUUCUAGGAUCGUAAACUUCUUUUAUCAGGGAGUAAUCUUGAAAGUACCUGAUGAAUAAGCAACGGCUAACUCCGUG
Molecule: ribosomal RNA, 426 nt
Filed under: uncultured bacterium
Lineage: Bacteria
Description: bacterial SSU rRNA
Rfam family: Bacterial small subunit ribosomal RNA
Source: RNAcentral